This 374-nucleotide ribosomal RNA is filed under the name uncultured prokaryote. RNAcentral's name for it is "bacterial SSU rRNA". It matches the Rfam family "Bacterial small subunit ribosomal RNA", at positions 524 to 896 of the family's 1533-position model. The record is from RNAcentral.
UACGAAAGGUGCAAGCGUUGUUCGGAAUGACUGGGCGUAAAGAGCACGUAGGCGGGUCUUUAAGUCGAUUGUGAAAUCCCGGAGCUCAACUUCGGACUUGCAAUCGAAACUGUAGAUCUUGAAUACCCUAGGGGUUGGUGGAAUUGCACAUGUAGCAGUGAAAUGCGUAGAUAUGUGCAGGAACACCGGAGGCGAAGGCGGCCAACUGGAGGUGUAUUGACGCUGAGGUGCGAAAGCGCGGGGAGCAAACAGGAUUAGAUACCCUGGUAGUCCGCGCCGUAAACGAUGGAUACUAGGCGUUUGGAAAGUUAACCUUCUGAGUGCCGUAGCUUACGCAUUAAGUAUCCCGCCUGGGGAGUACGCUGGCAACAGUG